Molecule: ribosomal RNA, 729 nt
Filed under: bacterium
Lineage: Bacteria
Description: bacterial SSU rRNA
Rfam family: Bacterial small subunit ribosomal RNA
Source: RNAcentral
CUUACCAUGCAGUCGAACGGCAGCACGGGUGCUUGCACCUGGUGGCGAGUGGCGAACGGGUGAGUAAUACAUCGGAACAUGUCCUGUAGUGGGGGAUAGCCCGGCGAAAGCCGGAUUAAUACCGCAUACGAUCUACGGAAGAAAGCGGGGGACCUUCGGGCCUCGCGCUAUAGGGUUGGCCGAUGGCUGAUUAGCUAGUUGGUGGGGUAAAGGCCUACCAAGGCGACGAUCAGUAGCUGGUCUGAGAGGACGACCAGCCACACUGGGACUGAGACACGGCCCAGACUCCUACGGGAGGCAGCAGUGGGGAAUUUUGGACAAUGGGCGAAAGCCUGAUCCAGCAAUGCCGCGUGUGUGAAGAAGGCCUUCGGGUUGUAAAGCACUUUUGUCCGGAAAGAAAUCCUGAGGGCUAAUAUCCUUCGGGGAUGACGGUACCGGAAGAAUAAGCACCGGCUAACUACGUGCCAGCAGCCGCGGUAAUACGUAGGGUGCGAGCGUUAAUCGGAAUUACUGGGCGUAAAGCGUGCGCAGGCGGUUUGCUAAGACCGAUGUGAAAUCCCCGGGCUCAACCUGGGAACUGCAUUGGUGACUGGCAGGCUAGAGUAUGGCAGAGGGGGGGUAGAAUUCCACGUGUAGCAGUGAAAUGCGUAGAGAUGUGGAGGAAUACCGAUGGCGAAGGCAGCCCCCUGGGCCAAUACUGACGCUCAUGCACGAAAGCGUGGGGAGCAA